Molecule: unclassified non-coding RNA, 286 nt
Filed under: Pleosporales sp.
Lineage: Eukaryota; Fungi; Ascomycota; Dothideomycetes; Pleosporales
Description: partial contains 5.8S ribosomal RNA, internal transcribed spacer 2, and large subunit ribosomal RNA
Rfam family: 5.8S ribosomal RNA (bases 1-71)
Source: RNAcentral
GUGAGUCAUCGAAUCUUUGAACGCACAUUGCGCCCCUUGGUAUUCCAUGGGGCAUGCCUGUUCGAGCGUCAUUUGUACCUUCAAGCUUUGCUUGGUGUUGGGUGUUUGUCUACACAAUUUGUUGAGACUCGCCUCAAAACAAUUGGCAGCUAGUGUAUUAGUCUUGGAGUGCAGCACAAUGCUAUUCAUACUAACGGUCACUGGCAUCCAUGAAGCCUUACAACACGCUUGACCUCGGAUCAGGUAGGGAUACCCGCUGAACUUAAGCAUAUCAAUAAGCGGAGGA